Non-coding RNA from Pelobates cultripes (western spadefoot toad), 363 nucleotides. The record is from the annotation of a GenBank genome assembly. NCBI's taxonomy places the organism in Eukaryota, Metazoa, Chordata, Amphibia, Anura, Pelobatidae.
GGGGAAGAGACACUAUGGGACAAGGGGAGGGGAAGAGACACUAUGGGACAAGGGGAGGGGGACACUAUGGGACAAGGGGAGGGGGACACUAUGGGAGAAAGGGAGGGGAGACACUAUGGGAGAAAGGGAGGGGGAGACACUAUGGGACAAGGGGAGGGGGGAGACACUAUGGGACAAGGGGAGGGGGGGACACUAUGGGAUCAGAACACUAAUGGACAAGGGGAGGAGGGGUUAAAGAACACUAUGGGACAGGGUAGGAGGGGUUAACAAUCACUAUGGGACAGGGUAGGAGGGGUUAACAAUCACUAUGGGACAGAGGAAAGGGGGGUUAAAGAUCAUUAUGGGACAGGGGAGAAAAAAAAA